AAAAUCAGCAAGCAAAAUGGUUCUUGGAGAAGCAGACUCAAAGGAUUGAUCUAAUCAUCUAACAUUCUUUUAGUGUUUACUCAAGGGUUGCAUGAUCCAAUUUGGUACUUGAUAAUAUAUGUAAGACUAUAAUUUCAUGUAUCAAUAGAAGAAAAAGUGGCCUUCCACUUGUUGCUCAUGAGAAAUUUUCAGAAGCAAGAGAAGUCGAGGGCCAAAAUCGUUUCUUGGGCCGAGCGUUUCUUGGGGUUUGGUUGGUCCGCCACAAGCCGCGCCGUCGCCGCUACGAAGCUAGUCGACGACGAUAACCUUCCCAUCCCACUUUCCACAUCUAGUGUGGUCCAGCGUCGUGGCGGCCUUCUUCCCUGGCCCGUCCUCCAUAGGCGUUCUUCCUCUGGCCUCAGCUCCAUUGGAGAAGCGGCGAUUGGGUCCUCGCGGCUCAACAGAUGAUGUGAAGAAAUGGUGGAUAUGGGGUUAUUGGAUCUCACCUCUUAUGUAUGCACAAAAUGCAAUUUCAGUGAAUGAAUUAUUGGGUCACAGUUGGAGUUAUGUGAGAACAUUUCUUUUGUGGAAUCAAGUAUCAGCAAGUAAAAUUUAAGAGUUUCGCAGAUUUGGAACCAAACAGAGCCUUCUCUAGGAGUAUGUGUUUUGAGGGCACAGGGAAUUUCCCCUGAAGCAAAAUGGUAUUGGAUCAGUUUGGGGGCCUUGGUUGGUUACGUACUUCUGUUCAAUGCUCUUUUCACAAUGGCUCUUACAUUUCUCAAACCAUUUGUCAAAUUUCAUCCACCUAUAUCUGAGGAGACUUAAAAGGAAAAACAUACCAAUCUAAUUGGUGAAGUGUUGGACCAAUUAUCUAGAGGGAAGAAAUCUAGUCCACCCUCUUCAUCCAAGGCUGAUGGAAUUAUGAGGGAAGAUAGCACAAAUGAAACAUCUAGUGAUAUAAAUAAGAAGGGCAUGAUCCUCCCCUUCACUCUGCUUUCCAUUACCUUUCACAACAUACGAUACUAUGUGGGCAUGCCGCAGAUAAUAAUAUAUCCUUAUGAAAUGAAAAGUCAAGGUGCGGAAGAAAAUUGUUUGAUGCGCCUCAAGGGUAUAAGUGGAUGUUUAAAGCCAGGAGUACUUACAGCACUAAUGGGCAUCAGUGGUGGUGGAAAGGCAACAUUGAUGGAUGUGUUGGCUGGGAGAAAAACAGGUGGCUACAUAGAAGGAAAUAUCACCAUCUCAAUCUCUUGUUUAUUCUGCAUUGCUUCGAUCAUCUGCUGAUGUUGAUUCUGCAACAAGGAAGGUUUGUCAGCUAAAAAGGAUGGUCCCAAGCUUACGUUACUUAAGUUGAUUCACCUAAAGAUUAUCUCAAGCUAUUUCUUGCAGAUGUUUGUGGAAGAGGUCAUGGAUCUUGUAGACUUGGCAUCAUUAAGAAAUGCACUUGUUGGUUUGACAGGAGUAAAUGGGUUAUCAACUGAACAGUGAAAGUCAAGGUCGCAUCUGGUAGUCACAACUGACCAGAGAAAGUCAAGGGUAGCUAUUAGGAUGGUAGCUUAAAAGCGAAAGUCACACCUGAAAAUCAAAGACCCACUCGUUACCAUUCCAGAAUGGAGCAAGCCGCAUCUGGUCGUGACCAAACUGUAUCUUCUUGUGAAGGUGAAGCAAUUUCACAACAAAUUGUGACCUGUCAAUCCUUGCAAUCUUUGUUGGACAUUGCCUCAAGAUCAUAUGUGAAUCCAGUGUCUUGUAUUCUUAUGAGACUACGGACAGUGCAAAAUGUUGCAUUCGAGGCCCGAGUGUACCUUCAAAGGUAGGGGAAGUUCUUGCUGAAAUCCAUCAAAGAGAAACACCAAUGGGGACUACCAUUGACAAUGAGGGAGUCCUAAUAGUUCCCCACCCUAGUGAGCCACUAGAAAGUGAAACAUUGUUGCAAUUUUCAAGGACUUCAGCAAUGUGGCAAUCAAUAGAGUCGAUGAAGGUAUUCCAGUUGAUGCCACAAAAUCCUCAUUUUUGCUUACUGGAGAAGUAUGCUAUGGAAUUUCGAGAAGGGAUGGCUAUAGGUCUUAUGUUGUCUUUUGCCAACUUAGUGACCAAUAUAAAACUGUUACAUAUUGAUGAUGUUCAAUAUACUUUUGAGGAGAGGAUGAGAGCGCUAGCCUUCCUGGAGGAGAAUGAAGUUGAUGUCAGUCAAUUACGUUCUUGGCUCUAAAAGCUGCUUGACACAUUACAAUCAGAGACAAUUUGAGACUAGAAAGACAUCAAUUGAAGCAAGGAUUGCAGAGAAAAAGGCCGACAUUGAUAGGCUUCAGUCAUCCAUUACUUAGUUGGAAAAACCAUCUUGUAACUUGAACAAAAUCUAACUAGUGCCCAUAAGACUAAAGAUUCAGCAAUUUUGCAAAAGAGCCUCAAUAAUGCUUAGAUAUCUAAAUUGGAAAUGAGCAUCUAUGAAGUUGAAAAAAGUUACAAUCAACUGUAGCAAGUUUCAAAGCAACAGCAAAUUCCAUAACUACCUUGUGUGAUCUUGCUUGUCUAAUCUUGUUUUGUCUGAAGCAAAUUUCUUGUAUGCCUCGUGGUGAAUACUGCAUUAAAUGGUAGCUUGUUGGCUGUAAAUUUAAUCUCAGGGCAAAAGGUGUUGCCUCCAUGAACAAUGGUUUGUUUUGUUUGACUACGCACGAGUGCUUAUCACUGUGCUUGCUGCAUGCCUUUUGUAAAUGAUUAUAUUAUCAAGUAAA
Zingiber officinale is the source of this 2711-nucleotide RNA transcript. RefSeq lists it as uncharacterized. The transcript has 6 exons. Lineage: Eukaryota; Viridiplantae; Streptophyta; Magnoliopsida; Zingiberales; Zingiberaceae. The record is from RefSeq and is a predicted model, not a curated record.